GCCGGUGGCCUAACCCCUUGUGGGAGGGAGCCGUCGAAGGUGGGAUCGGCGAUUGGGACGAAGUCGUAACAAGGUAGCCGUACCGGAAGGUGCGGCUGGAUCACCUCCUUUCUAAGGAG
Molecule: ribosomal RNA, 119 nt
Filed under: Nocardia cyriacigeorgica
Lineage: Bacteria; Bacillati; Actinomycetota; Actinomycetes; Mycobacteriales; Nocardiaceae
Description: partial 16S ribosomal RNA
Rfam family: Bacterial small subunit ribosomal RNA
Source: RNAcentral